Molecule: ribosomal RNA, 371 nt
Filed under: uncultured bacterium
Lineage: Bacteria
Description: bacterial SSU rRNA
Rfam family: Bacterial small subunit ribosomal RNA
Source: RNAcentral
GUAGGUACCGAGCGUUAUCCGGAUUUACUGGGCGUAAAGCGUGUUCAGGCGGCCUGGCAAGUCGGGCAUGAAAUCUCUCGGCUCAACCGGGAGAGGCUGUCCGAUACUGCUGGGCUUGAGGACGGUAGAGGGUGGUGGAAUUCCGCGUGUAGUGGUGAAAUGCGUAGAUAUGCGGAGGAACACCAGUGGCGAAGGCGGCCACCUGGACCGUCCCUGACGCUCAAACACGAAAGCUAGGGUAGCGAACGGGAUUAGAAACCCCGGUAGUCCUAGCCGUAAACGAUAUUGACUGGGUGUCAGAGGUGUAAAACCCUUUGGUGCCGGAGCAAACGCGUUAAGUCAACCGCCUGGGGACUACGGCCGCAAGGUUA